AAAGCCUCUAAGCAUCAGGUAACAUCAAAUCGUACCCCAAACCGACACAGGUGGUCAGGUAGAGAAUACCAAGGCGCUUGAGAGAACUCGGGUGAAGGAACUAGGCAAAAUGGUGCCGUAACUUCGGGAGAAGGCACGCUGAUAUGUAGGUGAAGCGACUUGCUCGUGGAGCUGAAAUCAGUCGAAGAUACCAGCUGGCUGCAACUGUUUAUUAAAAACACAGCACUGUGCAAACACGAAAGUGGACGUAUACGGUGUGACGCCUGCCCGGUGCCGGAAGGUUAAUUGAUGGGGUUAGCGGUAACGCGAAGCUCUUGAUCGAAGCCCCGGUAAACGGCGGCCGUAACUAUAACGGUCCUAAGGUAGCGAAAUUCCUUGUCGGGUAAGUUCCGACCUGCACGAAUGGCGUAAUGAUGGCCAGGCUGUCUCCACCCGAGACUCAGUGAAAUUGAACUCGCUGUGAAGAUGCAGUGUACCCGCGGCAAGACGGAAAGACCCCGUGAACCUUUACUAUAGCUUGACACUGAACAUUGAGCCUUGAUGUGUAGGAUAGGUGGGAGGCUUUGAAGUGUGGACGCCAGUCUGCAUGGAGCCGACCUUGAAAUACCACCCUUUAAUGUUUGAUGUUCUAACGUGGGCCCCUAAUCGGGGUUGCGGACAGUGUCUGGUGGGUAGUUUGACUGGGGCGGUCUCCUCCUAAAGAGUAACGGAGGAGCACGAAGGUUGGCUAAUCCUGGUCGGACAUCAGGAGGUUAGUGCAAUGGCAUAAGCCAGCUUGACUGCGAGCGUGACGGCGCGAGCAGGUGCGAAAGCAGGUCAUAGUGAUCCGGUGGUUCUGAAUGGAAGGGCCAUCGCUCAACGGAUAAAAGGUACUCCGGGGAUAACAGGCUGAUACCGCCCAAGAGUUCAUAUCGACGGCGGUGUUUGGCACCUCGAUGUCGGCUCAUCACAUCCUGGGGCUGAAGUAGGUCCCAAGGGUAUGGCUGUUCGCCAUUUAAAGUGGUACGCGAGCUGGGUUUAGAACGUCGUGAGACAGUUCGGUCCCUAUCUGCCGUGGGCGCUGGAGAACUGAGGGGGGCUGCUCCUAGUACGAGAGGACCGGAGUGGACGCAUCACUGGUGUUCGGGUUGUCAUGCCAAUGGCACUGCCCGGUAGCUAAAUGCGGAAGAGAUAAGUGCUGAAAGCAUCUAAGCACGAAACUUGCCCCGAGAUGAGUUCUCCCUGAGACUUAGAGUCUCCUGAAGGAACGUUGAAGACGACGACGUUGAUAGGCCGGGUGUGUAAGCGCAGCGAUGCGUUGAGCUAACCGGUACUAAUGAACCGUGAGGCUUAACCUU
Molecule: ribosomal RNA, 1337 nt
Filed under: Escherichia coli
Lineage: Bacteria; Pseudomonadati; Pseudomonadota; Gammaproteobacteria; Enterobacterales; Enterobacteriaceae
Description: partial 23S ribosomal RNA
Rfam family: Bacterial large subunit ribosomal RNA
Source: RNAcentral